AGGACGAACGCUGGCGGCGUGCCUAACACAUGCAAGUGGAGCGACGAACCAGGCUUCGGCCUGGGGCAGAGCCGCGAACGGGUGAGUAACACGUGGGUAACCUGCCCUGAUGAUUGGGACAACCCGAGGAAACUCGGGCUAAUACCAAAUGUGCCCUCCGGCCUCAAGGCCUGUGGGGAAAGGAAGCUUCGGCCUCCGCAUCGGGAUGGGCCCGCGGCCCAUUAGCUUGUUGGUGAGGUAAUGGCUCACCAAGGCUACGAUGGGUAGCUGGUCUGAGAGGACGAUCAGCCACACUGGGACUGAGACACGGCCCAGACUCCUACGGGAGGCAGCAGUGGGGAAUAUUGGACAAUGGGCGCAAGCCUGAUCCAGCAAUGCCGCGUGGGUGAAGAAGGUCUUCGGAUUGUAAAGCCCUUUCGACGGGACGAUGAUGACGGUACCCGUAGAAGAAGCCCGGCUAACUUCGUGCCAGCAGCCGC
This 479-nucleotide ribosomal RNA is filed under the name uncultured bacterium. RNAcentral's name for it is "SSU rRNA". It matches the Rfam family "Bacterial small subunit ribosomal RNA", at positions 26 to 518 of the family's 1533-position model. The record is from RNAcentral.